RNAcentral lists this ribosomal RNA (253 nucleotides) under uncultured bacterium. RNAcentral's name for it is "partial 16S ribosomal RNA". It matches the Rfam family "Bacterial small subunit ribosomal RNA", at positions 524 to 776 of the family's 1533-position model. The record is from RNAcentral.
UACGUAGGGGGCUAGCGUUGUCCGGAAUCAUUGGGCGUAAAGCGCGUGUAGGCGGCCCGGUAAGUCCGCUGUGAAAGUCGGGGGCUCAACCCUCGGAUGCCGGUGGAUACUGUCGGGCUAGAGUGCGGAAGAGGCGAGUGGAAUUCCUGGUGUAGCGGUGAAAUGCGCAGAUAUCUGGAGGAAUACCGGUGGCGAAGGCGGCAUCCUGGACCGACAUUGACGCUGAGGAGCGAAAGCUAGGGGAGCAAACGGG